Long non-coding RNA from Boleophthalmus pectinirostris (great blue-spotted mudskipper), 1173 nucleotides. RefSeq lists it as uncharacterized. Lineage: Eukaryota; Metazoa; Chordata; Actinopteri; Gobiiformes; Gobiidae. The record is from RefSeq and is a predicted model, not a curated record. The transcript is spliced from 4 exons.
CUUUUGUAACAUUUUCAGCGGGAGAGCUACAGUCCGAGAGAAAAGCCACGUCUCACCUUUCGAAGUUAAGCUAAGCUAACACCUAAUAGUGUUUGUUUUUCAGCAGAACCUGAAUUCAACGAGCCUAAAGUCCAACCACCUGAGCUCUCACAUGCCCCAGCCUUCAAAGCCCCGUGAUAAGUGUCCGUGAUGCUCUUCACUUUCUGGACCUGGUUACGGCGCAGCGGCGCACUGCGUUUAAGCGGGACUGGAGAGCGCGCUCAGCGGCUACACUAUAGCUGACUCUUUGAGGGGAGCUGUCGGAAUUCCCGGUGUUCCUGCAGGUUGUAUAUCACGGGCAGCGGGGACGCGGUGUACGCUUCGUAGCCUGGAGUGGACUGGGCACUAGAGGAGGUGGAAUCGUCUCUAAACAAGGACUAAACCCGCAUUUGACCAGGUCUAACCCGACACCCACAUACGCCUAAACCAGGGUGAGUGUCGUGCUGCUGGUUCACAUGCAUCUCCAGCUCCUAAAGGCUAUGGUGGAAAGAUGACGGCACAAGCCUUUAACCAUCUCGUCUGAGACUUGCAGAUUGGUAUGGACACAUUUCUUGCUGGUUGAGCCUGGACGGCCUUUCUAACUGUGACUGAAGUGGGAAGGACAAAGGUUUUUUUAUGUCAUCAUUGACCUAGCUGAAUUUGGUGAACACUUCAAGGCACUUGGUCCUCAGACUCUCACAAACUUUACACCUAUAUUCAAAGAACUGUCUAUAACAUGGGCGUUGGAUGUGUCAUAAGACACCACAAGAGUGAACGACUGACUCUUAAGGUAAAUAGUUUCUGCAAUGUCAAAGUUUCAUAAUGAGCAAGACUGUUUUUAUUGUGAACAUUGUUAUGUUUAUAUAAUGGAGAGAAAAUCUUGUUUCAAACAGUCAGACAUGCUCCUCUCAUUUUUGGAGAUGAGCAUGCCUGAAUUCCAUUCAAAACAAGAUCCUGAUUCAUCCAUCGACUGCUUGCAUUGAAAAAUCAACUUCAAAAAAAUAAAUGGCAAUCAUUGUGACCAACUGUUGAGGGCACAGAGAAUUCCUGCUGUGAGUUGGAUUUUGCUAAAAUAGUAUUGUGUCAUAUAACUUUUUAAAAUUGUGUUGACUGUAUGAUGUGCAUUCUUUCAAUACAAGUUAAGUUGAAAUAGAA